GUACAAGAAGAGAGUGAAGCUGAAUGAAAGUAGGGAGGGGAGGUGGAGGGAGAGGAGAGGAAGAAGGAAAGGAGGAGAGAGCGAUGGGAACGAGGAAACGCUUUCUCUCCUUAUGUUUAAUCCUGUGGAUCCUCACACCCCAAAAUCUAAAAUAAAGGAGAAAAAACUAAGAUAGGAGGUCAGACGAGGAGAAGGAGAGAGAGGGGGGCAAAGGAAGGAGAGAAGGAGAGAGGGGUAAAGGAAGGAGAGAAGGAGCCGAGGAGAAGGAGAGAGAGGUGUAAAGGAAGGAGAGAAGGAGCCGAGGAGAAGGAGAGAGAGGUGUAAAGGAAGGAGAGAAGGAGCCGAGGAGAAGGAGAGAGGUUUUAAGGAAGGAGAGAAGGAGCCGAGGAGAAGAGAGAGAGAGGUGUAAAGGAAGGAGAGAAGGAGCCGAGGAGAAGGAG
This is a long non-coding RNA of Gasterosteus aculeatus aculeatus (three-spined stickleback), 440 nucleotides long. The record is from Ensembl. Lineage: Eukaryota; Metazoa; Chordata; Actinopteri; Perciformes; Gasterosteidae.